AGGAAAGCCACCCACCCAGCUGCGCCCUCUGAGCUCCGUCCAGCUCGCGUGGACUCCUGCCUGCCACGGGCAGGAAACAAUUAGCAAGAACAGAACAACACCCCACAGGUGUCUAACGACCACACCCGAGCUUGUGACACGUGGAGGUGUGAGGGGUUGCCGAGCCACUUUGGACCAGACCUGGGGCGGAGCGGGGGAGCAGACAAAGAGGUGACACCUCAAGGUCUGGACGAUCACAGCUCUCCGACGCACGAUAAGCUACUGGACACACCUGCCCUGCCCCUCACAGAGAGCGUGGAAAAGCCCCCGAGUGGAAGUGGCUAACGGGAGGGACAAGAGAGAGGGGGCUUAACCUUCUUGCGUUUAUUAGUUAAAAGCUGCAAACCCACUGCCGGCUUCAAGCGCUGUGAGUAGGGACACCAUGCCGGGGGUCAGGGAGAAUGACGCCUUCCUCGUUAGUAUAGUGGUCCUGCGCUGCUUUUGUGUUGACAAAGCUCUUCUGUCUGCACCAGGGAAUAGAAUCCAGCCUACCUCCGCUGCCAGGCGGGGUCCCGUGGCCCGGAGGCGCCGCGUCUCGCCCCCGCGGCGGCAGCUGCGUGCUGCAGAACUCAGUCUCGUCGCUCUCCUCGGGCGCGCUCCUCCCCGCCCCGCCAGCCCACCCGCUCUCGGGCUCCGGCCGCCGCGCGCUGCAGAAGGUCUCGACCGUGUGGCUGCGGAGCUCCUGGACUCUCACUGGGAAGAGCAGAAACAGCAGAGCUCCAGGCGCGGCCCAGCUGAUGCCGCCAUUUCAGCUGAGCGCCUUCCCAGAUCCAAUAACACCUCCUCACACUUACACGGCUUUUCUGGACCCUCCACUUAUAAACAGGUCAUGGGGAUCCCCUCCUCCACCACCAGUGUGUACCCCCACUGGAUGAUGCACCAGUCCGCUCCCCACACACCAGCUCUCAGUGGGGAGGAGAGCAGAGUGAUGAAGCCAGUUCAGAGAGGGGGAUUAUCAGGAGGCCAUGAUGGGUAAAGGCCAGUGGGAAAUUUAGCCAGGACGGGGGAGUAACACCCCUACUCUUUUCAAGAAACGCCCUGGGAUUUUUAAUGACCACAGAGUCAGGCCCUUGGUUUUACUGUACAUCUCCUCUGGGCCUUUUCACAGUACAGUGUCCCCAUCACUAUACUGAGCAUUAGGACCCCCACAGGGUGAGGGCCCCCUACUAGCACCAGUAACACCUCUUCCAGCAGCAGCCUUAGUUUUUCCCAGGAGGUCUCCCCUCCAGGUACUGGCCAGGCUCACACUGCUGAGCUCCAGUGGGCUGCCAGCUGGGAGCUGUGAGCUACACAUUCUUUCACGACACCAAGAUCAAAACACUGGGAUCCUUCCUGGGAUCUAUUGCUUACGAACUACACAACAGGCUGGAUGGGAUGCAUGUCCUUCUGCAAUCUGAAACUGCUCCUGUCAGUGCCUUUAGGGAUAAUGAGUAUUUGUCUCAGGUCCCUCCUAGUCCGCCUAACGUGUUUUGCUCUGUUCAUUUUUUUACAAAUAGGAUAAAAACUUUAGAAAAUUAACAAAAUGAAGACAGAAAGAAAGGUGACACAGACAAACACAGAGGCUUUGAGGAAUUUCGGGUAUUGUUAUCUUCUCAACACACAGUGCACAUUAGCUCCUUGAAAAUCUAUCCUGUAAUUAAUUAGGUAUUAAUUACUUCAAGGUUUGUUCAGAAGGAGCCAAAGCCCUUCAUUUGCAGGUCGUGUCUUAGGAGCUUGAUUACUCAGUCGAAGGCGGAACAGAAGAGCUGUCCGUAGCCUACAGUACAGGAAGAGCAGCCCGUAGACUUUAAUGGAACGGAAUGAAAAAAAAUCUCAAAGACUGCAAACUAGCUGAAAUCUUAACACAUAAGUAGAACAUGAAGGUCGAAUGACAGCUCUUUUCUUGUGAAUUAAAGGGCAAGGUGUGUGAAAAACACUUUCACUCCUGCUCGAUUAUGAUCUAUGGGUUUGUCAUUGACAUUCAUCUCAGCCCCGCACUGACCCUCCGCUUCGCUCACGUUAAACUGCCGCAGAAAACCAGCGCUCAGCUCUGUGCUACUGCCGUGCAGAUCUGCGCUUGUGGAUCUUACUUCCGCCGAGGAAAUCGCCGGCCUGUCGCUCGUACUCCCGGCAGAGCUGCACCAGGCUGUGCAGGGACAGCGACUCGAGCUGGUCCUUGAUCGAGCCCAGACUGGUCAGAGAAACGCGCCCCGCCUCCAGUAGGAUCACCAGCAGCUGACCCGCGUCCCGCGCCGCCUGCAGCUCGUGCCCGGCCACCUGUCCUGACCACUGCGUUUUGAGCCGCCGGAGCUGACCGCUGUCCACCUGCCGGGAGAUCUCCGCCGCCAGCCGCUCGAAUCUCAGCCGGAGCUGCUGCUGACCCGUCUCGCACAUCACUCGGGCAAACCAGGAGACCGCGCCCGCGGGAGCUUACAGUAAACCCAGAGCUCAAGAAGUGAGAACCGAAAGUAAAACUGCUUCUCUGUACGAGGCGGAAGAGAGACUGGCCUCUCCGCUCCCACAGAGCGGGGCUUGUGAGUCUCUGUAGUUUUAAAAACCGGGAGUCACUUAAGGAGCGAAGCCCAGCUGAUCACAUCGCUGUGUUGAAAGUGGUAGAAGCUCAGACAGAUAUCGGGACAAAACUGUACUAAAACAGUCUUUACAUUUUGAGUUUCAAAUCUAACCUAUACUGGUUUAGGAAUGAGAAGCCACUAGUACUUCCUCCACAGAAUUGUUAGUGGUAAGUAAAGGACAAUCUUCUAAAAGCGUUCACAUCAUCAAAAAUCCUGCUAAAUUAUCUGGACAUCACGUUGGCUGCACAGUAUAAAUUGUAAAAGCAAGGGAUGUGCUUUUACUCGGGCUCCGCUGUCUUGUGCAAAGAUAACUGAAGCUGUAAAAACACAGAGAAACCGAUAUAAACACAGACAGCAGGUCUGGAUUGACCUGCAACGUUGUAUAAAGAAAGACUCUGUUACUGACAUUACUGUUAAAGAAAUACACGUUAUUGUUAGAUUUUAAUCCAAUUGACAAUAAUAUGAAAAUAUCAGUUGUUAUCUACUUGAUCAUUAUACUCGCACGGUAUUAUGCACUUUAAGUGAAAUAGCCUGGGACGAGAACCAUGUUUGAACAGUAAAAUAAACCUAAAGGCGUGUCUACGGACUAUGCAGGAACACGAAAGCUGUGUGGACCUCAUCUUUAUUUACCUAUUCAUCUUUUUUUUAAUAAAGUGCAGGUGUAUUACAUAUGUCCCACUGAAGAUGUUAUUGAUGUGUCCUAUGUACUCUUCUUUGUAUUGUAUGUAUUUUUG
Lepisosteus oculatus (spotted gar) is the source of this 3325-nucleotide long non-coding RNA. Lineage: Eukaryota; Metazoa; Chordata; Actinopteri; Semionotiformes; Lepisosteidae. The record is from Ensembl.